CCAUGCAUGCCUUGAUAGAAGAGCAUCUCUCUGAAUCUGCGAACGGCUCCGCACACCAGUUGUAAACUAUAGCAAGUAUGCUACCGCAUGCUGGCAUCUACAGUCCAGUAUGAGGGGUUCAAAUGGACAACCCUGGUAAUUCUGAGGCUAAUACACGAAUGUACAACCUGAUCGACUGGGAUAACCGGGAGGUCGGGGAGAGUGUGGUCAGCCGCAGACAUUACUGGGAAUAGACGCACUUUCAAACCACCAUAUAAAGCAGUGAGGGUGCCGAACACCCG
This 281-nucleotide ribosomal RNA is filed under the name Fuligo septica. RNAcentral's name for it is "partial small subunit ribosomal RNA". Lineage: Eukaryota; Evosea; Eumycetozoa; Physariida; Physaraceae. The record is from RNAcentral.